This 109-nucleotide small nuclear RNA is filed under the name Echinostoma caproni. The record is from RNAcentral. Lineage: Eukaryota; Metazoa; Platyhelminthes; Trematoda; Plagiorchiida; Echinostomatidae.
GCUUCACGCUUCGUUGGAACAAAUGGUAAAAUUGAAAUGAGAGGAGAGAAGAUUAGCAUGGCCUCCACGCAAGAAUGACACGCCAAAUCGUGAAGGGUUCCACAUUUUU